GCAGUCGAGCGGACAGAAGGGAGCUUGCUCCCGGAUGUUAGCGGCGGACGGGUGAGUAACACGUGGGUAACCUGCCUGUAAGACUGGGAUAACUCCGGGAAACCGGAGCUAAUACCGGAUAGUUCCUUGAACCGCAUGGUUCAAGGAUGAAAGACGGUUUCGGCUGUCACUUACAGAUGGACCCGCGGCGCAUUAGCUAGUUGGUGAGGUAACGGCUCACCAAGGCGACGAUGCGUAGCCGACCUGAGAGGGUGAUCGGCCACACUGGGACUGAGACACGGCCCAGACUCCUACGGGAGGCAGCAGUAGGGAAUCUUCCGCAAUGGACGAAAGUCUGACGGAGCAACGCCGCGUGAGUGAUGAAGGUUUUCGGAUCGUAAAGCUCUGUUGUUAGGGAAGAACAAGUGCAAGAGUAACUGCUUGCACCUUGACGGUACCUAACCAGAAAGCCACGGCUAACUACGUGCCAGCAGCCGCGGUAAUACGUAGGUGGCAAGCGUUGUCCGGAAUUAUUGGGCGUAAAGGGCUCGCAGGCGGUUUCUUAAGUCUGAUGUGAAAGCCCCCGGCUCAACCGGGGAGGGUCAUUGGAAACUGGGAAACUUGAGUGCAGAAGAGGAGAGUGGAAUUCCACGUGUAGCGGUGAAAUGCGUAGAGAUGUGGAGGAACACCAGUGGCGAAGGCGACUCUCUGGUCUGUAACUGACGCUGAGGAGCGAAAGCGUGGGGAGCGAACAGGAUUAGAUACCCUGGUAGUCCACGCCGUAAACGAUGAGUGCUAAGUGUUAGGGGGUUUCCGCCCCUUAGUGCUGCAGCUAACGCAUUAAGCACUCCGCCUGGGGAGUACGGUCGCAAGACUGAAACUCAAAGGAAUUGACGGGGGCCCGCACAAGC
This 890-nucleotide ribosomal RNA is filed under the name Bacillus pumilus. Its description in RNAcentral is "bacterial SSU rRNA". It matches the Rfam family "Bacterial small subunit ribosomal RNA", at positions 57 to 930 of the family's 1533-position model. Lineage: Bacteria; Bacillati; Bacillota; Bacilli; Caryophanales; Bacillaceae. The record is from RNAcentral.